RNAcentral lists this ribosomal RNA (2903 nucleotides) under Enterobacter cloacae. RNAcentral describes it as "bacterial LSU rRNA". It matches the Rfam family "Bacterial large subunit ribosomal RNA". The record is from RNAcentral. RNAcentral also lists the same sequence under 2 other names. Lineage: Bacteria; Pseudomonadati; Pseudomonadota; Gammaproteobacteria; Enterobacterales; Enterobacteriaceae.
UUAAGCGACUAAGCGUACACGGUGGAUGCCCUGGCAGUCAGAGGCGAUGAAGGACGUGCUAAUCUGCGAAAAGCGCCGGCGAGGUGAUAUGAACCUUUGACCCGGCGAUGUCCGAAUGGGGAAACCCAGUGCAAUCCGUUGCACUAUCGUUAACUGAAUACAUAGGUUAACGAGGCGAACCGGGGGAACUGAAACAUCUAAGUACCCCGAGGAAAAGAAAUCAACCGAGAUUCCCCCAGUAGCGGCGAGCGAACGGGGAGCAGCCCGGAGUCUGAAUCAGCUUGUGUGUUAGUGGAACGGUCUGGAAAGUCCGACGGUACAGGGUGAUAGUCCCGUACACGAAAGCACACUUGCUGUGAACUCGAAGAGUAGGGCGGGACACGUGGUAUCCUGUCUGAAUAUGGGGGGACCAUCCUCCAAGGCUAAAUACUCCUGACUGACCGAUAGUGAACCAGUACCGUGAGGGAAAGGCGAAAAGAACCCCGGCGAGGGGAGUGAAAAAGAACCUGAAACCGUGUACGUACAAGCAGUGGGAGCCUCUUUAUGGGGUGACUGCGUACCUUUUGUAUAAUGGGUCAGCGACUUAUAUUCUGUAGCAAGGUUAACCGUAUAGGGGAGCCGAAGGGAAACCGAGUCUUAACUGGGCGUUAAGUUGCAGGGUAUAGACCCGAAACCCGGUGAUCUAGCCAUGGGCAGGUUGAAGGUUGGGUAACACUAACUGGAGGACCGAACCGACUAAUGUUGAAAAAUUAGCGGAUGACCUGUGGCUGGGGGUGAAAGGCCAAUCAAACCGGGAGAUAGCUGGUUCUCCCCGAAAGCUAUUUAGGUAGCGCCUCGUGAACUCAUCUUCGGGGGUAGAGCACUGUUUCGGCUAGGGGGCCAUCCCGGCUUACCAACCCGAUGCAAACUACGAAUACCGAAGAAUGUUAUCACGGGAGACACACGGCGGGUGCUAACGUCCGUCGUGAAGAGGGAAACAACCCAGACCGCCAGCUAAGGUCCCAAAGUCAUGGUUAAGUGGGAAACGAUGUGGGAAGGCACAGACAGCCAGGAUGUUGGCUUAGAAGCAGCCAUCAUUUAAAGAAAGCGUAAUAGCUCACUGGUCGAGUCGGCCUGCGCGGAAGAUGUAACGGGGCUAAACCAUGCACCGAAGCUGCGGCAGCGACACUAUGUGUUGUUGGGUAGGGGAGCGUUCUGUAAGCCGUUGAAGGUGUGCUGUGAGGCAUGCUGGAGGUAUCAGAAGUGCGAAUGCUGACAUAAGUAACGAUAAAGCGGGUGAAAAGCCCGCUCGCCGGAAGACCAAGGGUUCCUGUCCAACGUUAAUCGGGGCAGGGUGAGUCGACCCCUAAGGCGAGGCCGAAAGGCGUAGUCGAUGGGAAACAGGUUAAUAUUCCUGUACUUGGUGUUACUGCGAAGGGGGGACGGAGAAGGCUAUGUCAGCCGGGCGACGGUUGUCCCGGUUUAAGCAUGUAGGCGGAGGUUCCAGGUAAAUCCGGUACCUUGUUAACGCUGAGGUGUGAUGACGAGGCACUACGGUGCUGAAGUGAUAAAUGCCCUGCUUCCAGGAAAAGCCUCUAAGCAUCAGGUAACACGAAAUCGUACCCCAAACCGACACAGGUGGUCAGGUAGAGAAUACCAAGGCGCUUGAGAGAACUCGGGUGAAGGAACUAGGCAAAAUGGUGCCGUAACUUCGGGAGAAGGCACGCUGAUGUGUAGGUGAAGUCCCUGCGGACGGAGCUGAAAUCAGUCGAAGAUACCAGCUGGCUGCAACUGUUUAUUAAAAACACAGCACUGUGCAAACACGAAAGUGGACGUAUACGGUGUGACGCCUGCCCGGUGCCGGAAGGUUAAUUGAUGGGGUUAGCGGCAACGCGAAGCUCUUGAUCGAAGCCCCGGUAAACGGCGGCCGUAACUAUAACGGUCCUAAGGUAGCGAAAUUCCUUGUCGGGUAAGUUCCGACCUGCACGAAUGGCGUAAUGAUGGCCAGGCUGUCUCCACCCGAGACUCAGUGAAAUUGAACUCGCUGUGAAGAUGCAGUGUACCCGCGGCAAGACGGAAAGACCCCGUGAACCUUUACUAUAGCUUGACACUGAACACUGGUCCUUGAUGUGUAGGAUAGGUGGGAGGCUUUGAAGCGUGGACGCCAGUCUGCGUGGAGCCAACCUUGAAAUACCACCCUUUAAUGGCUGGUGUUCUAACGUAGACCCGUAAUCCGGGUUGCGGACAGUGUCUGGUGGGUAGUUUGACUGGGGCGGUCUCCUCCCAAAGAGUAACGGAGGAGCACGAAGGUUGGCUAAUCCUGGUCGGACAUCAGGAGGUUAGUGCAAUGGCAUAAGCCAGCUUGACUGCGAGCGUGACGGCGCGAGCAGGUGCGAAAGCAGGUCAUAGUGAUCCGGUGGUUCUGAAUGGAAGGGCCAUCGCUCAACGGAUAAAAGGUACUCCGGGGAUAACAGGCUGAUACCGCCCAAGAGUUCAUAUCGACGGCGGUGUUUGGCACCUCGAUGUCGGCUCAUCACAUCCUGGGGCUGAAGUAGGUCCCAAGGGUAUGGCUGUUCGCCAUUUAAAGUGGUACGCGAGCUGGGUUUAGAACGUCGUGAGACAGUUCGGUCCCUAUCUGCCGUGGGCGCUGGAGAAUUGAGGGGGGCUGCUCCUAGUACGAGAGGACCGGAGUGGACGCAUCACUGGUGUUCGGGUUGUCAUGCCAAUGGCACUGCCCGGUAGCUAAAUGCGGAAGAGAUAAGUGCUGAAAGCAUCUAAGCACGAAACUUGCCCCGAGAUGAGUUCUCCCUGAGACCUUGAGUCUCCUGAAGGAACGUUGAAGACGACGACGUUGAUAGGUCGGGUGUGUAAGCGCAGCGAUGCGUUGAGCUAACCGAUACUAAUGAACCGUGAGGCUUAACCUU